Rosa rugosa (rugosa rose) is the source of this 1774-nucleotide long non-coding RNA. RefSeq lists it as uncharacterized. The record is from RefSeq and is a predicted model, not a curated record. The transcript is spliced from 3 exons. Lineage: Eukaryota; Viridiplantae; Streptophyta; Magnoliopsida; Rosales; Rosaceae.
CACUACUAAAAACAAUUGCAUUCGCUUCGGAAAUUUGCGACGGCAUUGAUUUCCGUAGCAAUUGAGACUCUAUUGCUACGGAAAAUGUUCCGUCGCAAUUAAGUCUAAUCAUUUGCGACGGAAAAUCUUUGCCGUAGUAACUUUGUAAUCAAUUGCUAUGCCUUUUCCUCUUGCCGUCGCAUAACUUAUUUCUAUUUCCCCUUACAUCUCGAUCUGUAGCCCUAAUUAGCCCAAGCUCUCUCUGUCUCUAUCUCGCCCAAGCGCUCUCUUUCUCUCUCUUCUCGCCCAAGCUCACCCAAGCUCUCUCUCUCUCUCUCUCUCUCUCUCUUCAGAACUUGGGUUUCUGUCUUCGUCCAAACUCAGGUUCCAAGGGCCUGAGGAUCCACGACAACCCUGCUCUCGAGCACGCCUCCAAGGCCUCCAAUUUCCUCUACCCGGUCUUCUUCAUCGAUCAACACUGCAUGAAUCCCGACCCGAACGCACCCUCGGCCGGAUCCUCCAAGGCCAGCCUGAACCGAAUCUGGCGCUCAUUAGGUUUGAGUUAAUUUUCGAUCCAUGAUAGAUUCCCAAAUGCCCAGGAAGAAAUUUUGGUUUCCAAAUCGGCAAGCUGAGCAUGGCUCUUAUUUUCAGUUCAUCUUCACCACUCUACUUUGCCUCGUUUUGGAAAGUGGUGCUGCUAGGUGGGUAAUUUUAUUAACAAUUGAAGAAUGGCCGAUAGCAUGAAGCAAUUCCAGAAAAUCUUAAUUGAGCAUGAGACUCAAGCUGAGCACCUCUUUCUAGCUAAACACCAGGUAAUUCAUACUUGUUACUCUAAUGAUUUAAUUAUCUGCUAAAUAGGGCAUCUGAUAUUUACAUUGGACAGUCGAUAUAGAAUUGAGUUUAGCUAUGGUCAUCCUACUUGUUAUGGGUUUCUAGGUUUGUUUUCUGUUUCAGGCUUGUAGUUUUUUAUGGGAUUGAUUGUACCCAAGUUUAGUGGCAUGAGUGACUCGGGAGGAGAAAUCUUUGUUUACAUUCUUAUCCUGUUAGUCAUAUCUUCAAGCCAUUAUUUUUAUAAUUGAAUGCUGGAGUUAUUAACUUUUGUUUACUUGCAUUAUAAAGGGACUGAAUUGUAUUACUUGGUAUAUUGAAUGCCCUGCAAAAUAGGAUCAUCUUUCCUUUGAUCUUGUGUCAAUCAGUCAGUGUAGUUGCUUUCUGUUGGCAUUAAGUGGAGGGGCGCUUUUGUUUAUUUAUAAUUUUUUGCGUUGUAUCUUUCUUGCAAGAGUCAUUUUUCAAUUUUAUGAAGAGUAAUUAUGAGUCUAGUGCUUUUAAGAGUCUUAGGGUGAGUACUCAAGGGUCUUGUCAUUAAUUGAGUCUUGCGGUGUUCUAGGAGUCUUUUUAAGCCUAUAAAUAUAGCUACGGUUUGUAAACCCAGAUGAGAUUGGAAUGAAAUAAACUCAGUUUGUAUUGAAAGUCUCCAUAAAGCCUCUGUUUCUUGUAAAACCAUUCUGGUCUCUUAAUCUCUCAACCCUAAUCACACUCUCACCGAGCCGACUGUUGCUCUGUUGUGCAUCACUAACUUUUAUAGAAAAUACAAGCUCAAAUAGGCAAAGAAAUUGCUUACCAGGGGAUGAAGAAAGCGGUGACCAUCGUCACUGAUUGAUCUUGUGUCAAUCAGUCAGUGUAGUUGCUUUCUGUUGGCAUUAAGUGGAGGGGCGCUUUUGUUUAUUUAUAAUUUUUUGCGUUGUAUCUUUUGCAACCUAUUUGAAACAUCAGUUUUCUGCAAUUUGGAUUUUCA